This 60-nucleotide non-coding RNA is filed under the name Magnetospirillum sp. Its description in RNAcentral is "Li+-I sequence". It matches the Rfam family "nhaA-I RNA". Rfam says of the family: Acidobacteria, Alphaproteobacteria, Betaproteobacteria and Gammaproteobacteria, Verrucomicrobia, cand. division NC10. The record is from RNAcentral. Lineage: Bacteria; Pseudomonadati; Pseudomonadota; Alphaproteobacteria; Rhodospirillales; Rhodospirillaceae.
GGGUGCCUGCGCAAAUGUCGUGACCAUGCAGGCAGGUUUCGUGCUGGUCGGGCCGCCGCA